RNAcentral lists this ribosomal RNA (254 nucleotides) under uncultured bacterium. RNAcentral's name for it is "partial 16S ribosomal RNA". It matches the Rfam family "Bacterial small subunit ribosomal RNA", at positions 524 to 776 of the family's 1533-position model. The record is from RNAcentral.
GACGUAGGAGGCGAGCGUUGUCCGGAUUCAUUGGGCGUAAAGAGCGCGCAGGCGGUCGUUCAAGUCGCGUGUGAAAGCCCCCGGCUCAACUGGGGAGGGUCACGCGAUACUGAUCGACUCGAAGGCAGGAGAGGGUAGUGGAAUUCCCGGUGUAGUGGUGAAAUGCGUAGAUAUCGGGAGGAACACCAGUGGCGAAGGCGACUACCUGGCCUGUUUCUUGACGCUGAGGCGCGAAAGCUAGGGGAGCAAACGGG